Long non-coding RNA from Helianthus annuus (common sunflower), 1153 nucleotides. RefSeq lists it as uncharacterized. Lineage: Eukaryota; Viridiplantae; Streptophyta; Magnoliopsida; Asterales; Asteraceae. The record is from RefSeq and is a predicted model, not a curated record. The transcript has 8 exons.
GAAGGUGAGCUCCUAUGGAGGAGAAUAGGGUUCCGGCGAAUCGGAUGAUAAACCACCGUCCUCUUGUUGUAGUAACGUAUCGUCUCGACGGUUUGACGGUGGUAAACCUGGAGCCGCGGCGGCAAUUGCUGUUGAUGCAGACCAAGUUUUUCCGAAAUGCUUACAAACAACACGAAGUCCAGCAGAUGACGGGCUUAAAUUUUGCUUAAUGACUCCAGGUUCGGGUGAACGCCCACCAAGACCAUGUGUAGAGUUAUAAUCCCAUGAUAGAACCUGAUGAUGGCUGGCACUAUAAAUUUGUUGGAAAUCCAAAAGUAAUUCAUGGAGUUAGAUGAGUUGAGGUACUAAUCCAUCAGGUUUCACCUACCGAGUAUUUUGAACCAUUCACUUCGCCGUCAAAGUGCGUGGGGCAGGGCACUGAGAAGACCAUCAAAGGUGUACCUCCGUUGGUGUCACGGUGUGUUCUAGAAACGUUGACAUAUUUGGCUAGGAAUCAUACGUUUGUUGCGAAACUAUUGCUUCAGUUCAGGUUACCUCCAUUGGAGUCCGAGAAUCUUGAUAAGUCAAGGGGAAAAGCUAUCAUAGUUGUCGAAGAAAAUAAAACAGAAAACCAACAAGCGGAUGAUUUCUUAGCGAUCACAAUGCUGUGAAGUCUUCUGAAUCAACCACUUUAUUUUAGGAGUAUUGCACAUCUUGAGCAGUUGUGCUGAACUUGCUAGAUGUCGUCAAUGAUAACGCUGAAAGCAAGCAAGCUCUGGUUGACCACGGUGCAUCCGAAACUGAAGAAUCAUCUGGUUCCAAAUCACCCAAAGCCGAAAGCACCUCUAAGCCCGCAUCUUCUGGUGGUAUUACAGAAUUUGACUCUCACACUAUUUUGCUAAACUUGCCCCAAGCAGAACUACGUCUUCUCUGCUCACUGCUCGCACGUGAAUGUUUUUCGGAUAAUGCGUAUGCACUUGUGGUAGAAGUAUUGAAGAAGUUGGUGACAUGCGCGCCACGUCACGAUAUAGUGCAUUAGUUGAGGACAAAGCUUUGGCUGCACUUGCAAUUGAGGACAAGAAAAGGCAAUAUAACAUUGGCGCAGCGAGCGCAUCCGCAACGCCACAGCGAGCACACCCCAGCCAGCCCGACGCAACGCCACAGAGAGCGCAAC